RNAcentral lists this microRNA precursor (105 nucleotides) under Marmota monax (woodchuck). The record is from RNAcentral. Lineage: Eukaryota; Metazoa; Chordata; Mammalia; Rodentia; Sciuridae.
UUCAACAUCAGCUGGGAGCUUGUUAGAAAUGCAGAAUCUCAAAACCUUGCUUCAGACUUAGAGAAUUAGAAUCUGCAUUUUAAUGAGAUCCCAGAUGAUUCAUAU